GCCUUGGAAGCAGGUGACUGAACCCAAACAAGAUGACCUGCAGGUAAGAAAUGGCAGACCGGAGUGCCCGGCUUUACCUGGAGCAAGCGAAAGACAAUAUGAUCAUGCUCCCACCUUGACGAGUCCGUAUGGCAAAUGGCAAUAGCUUCCACUUUAUCUCCACUUUCACCUCUGAGUGAGACCUUAACAAGCUUUACAGCUUCAACGUUAUAAUGACAAAAUAAAGCCUCAGACACGGGAUGACAAACUACCAUUCCCUGACCUUCAAUCUCUUGGGGAUCUUCCAACACAAUAUAGUCUUGUAACAGUGCAGCUGAGAUUGUGGGGUAUUUGGUUUCCACAAUUUUAAGUUCCCCUUCUGAUCCAAAUG
This 370-nucleotide unclassified non-coding RNA is filed under the name Hevea brasiliensis (rubber tree). Lineage: Eukaryota; Viridiplantae; Streptophyta; Magnoliopsida; Malpighiales; Euphorbiaceae. The record is from RNAcentral.